RNAcentral lists this non-coding RNA (111 nucleotides) under Palpitomonas bilix. The record is from RNAcentral.
CCCCAAGCGACGUUUGAGUCAGGCACGGGUGCAAGAAAUAAGGAUUCUCUUUCUUUUAAUAAUAAUGAAACUUGAAACCCAAACCCAAACCCAAACCACCCAACUGAGGCA